GUUGAACGCUGGCGGCGUGCCUAACACAUGCAAGUCGAGCGGAUGAACGAGGCUUGCUCUCGGUUGCAGCUACCGACGGGCGAGUAAGUCCUAGGUGUCUCCCCGGCAGCUUGGGAUAACGUGCGGAAAGGGGCCCUCAUACAGUAUACGUCCAUAUGUAGAACGGGAUGGAUCUUCGGAUCUUACGCUCUUUGAUGAUCCUAGUUCGGAUUAGCUAGUUGGUGAGGUAAAGGCGUACCAAGGCGACGAUCCGUAACUGGUCUGAGAGGAUGAUCAGACACACUGGAACUGAGACACGGUCCAGACUCCUACGGGAGGCAGCAGUAGGGAAUAUUGGACAAUGGGCGAAAGCCUGAUCCAGCCAUGCCGCGUGAGUGAAGAAGGUCUUCGGAUUGUAAAGCUCUGUUAGUGGGAAAGAACAGAAGUAUGUUAAUACCUUGCUGUUUUGACGUUACCAAAAGAAUAAGCCCCGGCUAACUUCGUG
RNAcentral lists this ribosomal RNA (484 nucleotides) under uncultured bacterium. Its description in RNAcentral is "partial 16S ribosomal RNA". It matches the Rfam family "Bacterial small subunit ribosomal RNA", at positions 28 to 507 of the family's 1533-position model. The record is from RNAcentral.